AUUGAACGCUGGCGGCAGGCCUAACACAUGCAAGUCGAGCGGAUGAAGGGAGCUUGCUCCUGGAUUCAGCGGCGGACGGGUGAGUAAUGCCUAGGAAUCUGCCUGGUAGUGGGGGAUAACGUCCGGAAACGGGCGCUAAUACCGCAUACGUCCUGAGGGAGAAAGUGGGGGAUCUUCGGACCUCACGCUAUCAGAUGAGCCUAGGUCGGAUUAGCUAGUUGGUGGGGUAAAGGCCUACCAAGGCGACGAUCCGUAACUGGUCUGAGAGGAUGAUCAGUCACACUGGAACUGAGACACGGUCCAGACUCCUACGGGAGGCAGCAGUGGGGAAUAUUGGACAAUGGGUGAAAGCCUGAUCCAGCCAUGCCGCGUGUGUGAAGAAGGUCUUCGGAUUGUAAAGCACUUUAAGUUGGGAGGAAGGGCAGUAAGUUAAUACCUUGCUGUUUUGACGUUACCAACAGAAUAAGCACCGGCUAACUUCGAG
This 484-nucleotide ribosomal RNA is filed under the name uncultured bacterium. RNAcentral's name for it is "partial 16S ribosomal RNA". It matches the Rfam family "Bacterial small subunit ribosomal RNA", at positions 30 to 507 of the family's 1533-position model. The record is from RNAcentral.